UGACAGGACUGUUUUGCUGUCGUUUUUGUUCAUUUUGUAGUGUUCUCUUGUUUUUUUAAAUUAAAAUUCUAAUGAUGAACACAUCCUCUGCUGCACCUUGGUUCCCUCUUACAGACAGCCGUUACAGCGGCACCAUGAAGACCAAGGAGCUCUCCAAACAGGUCAAGGACAAAGUUGUGGAGUAGUACAUAUCAAGGUUGGGUUAUAAGACAUAUCCAUAACUUUGAACAUCCCACGGAGCACCAUUAAAUCCAUUGUUAAAAAAUGGAAAGAAUAUGGCACCACAACAAACUUGCCAAGAGCGGGCUGCCUACCAAAACUCACGGACCAGGCAAGGAGGGCAUUAAUCAGAGAGGCAACAAGGAGACCAAAGAUAACCCUGAAGGAGCUGCAAAGCUCUACAGCAGAGAUUGGAGUAUCUGUCUAUAGGACCACUUUAAGCCGUACACUCCACAGAGCUGGGCAUUAUGGAAGUGUCCAGAAAAAAGCCAUUGCUUAAAACCUCUUGGGGCUAGGGGGCAGUAUUUUCACAGCCGGAUGAAAAACGUACCCAAUUUAAACAGGUUACUACUCUGGCCCAGAAAAUAGAAUAUGCAUAUUAUUAGUAGAUUUGGAUAGAAAACACUCUGAAGUUUCUAAAACUGUUUGAAUGGUGUCUGUGAGUAUAACAGAACUCAUAUGGCAGGCAAAAACCUGAGAAAAAUUGAAUGAGGAAGUGGGAGAAAUUAGAAAUGUAGUUUUUCUUUUGAAUCCCUUGAAAAACUACAGUGACAUAGGAUUUACGUUGCACCUCCUAACUCUUCCAUUGGCUGUCAACAAUCUUUAGGAGCUGGUUUCAUCCGUCACCUGUUACCGGGUAGAAAAUUGUGGCUCAGUCAAUCAGUGGCCAGUCUGAGGACAGGUGUCUUGUGACGCGCAUGCACGUGACUUCGCUGUUUGUUAUUAUCCUUCUGGGAUGAAUACCUAUUUCUCGGUUGUUAAAUUAUCGCAAUUUUACAUAAAAAAAUACUCUAAAGGAUUGAUUGUAAACAUCGUUUGACAUGUUUCUACAAACGGUAAUGGAACUUUUGAACAUUUUGUCUAUGGAUUUGUGUCCACGCCAUAUGGCAUUGUAAAGUGUUCUAGAUGGGUCAACAAAACGGAUGUAUUUGGACAUAAAUGAUGUACUUUGCAGAACAAAUGAACAAUUCUUGUGGAAGUGGGUGCCCUUCCGAGUGCAUUCCGCCGAAGAUCAGCAAAGAGGCUGCCAUCCCUGCUUGAUGAGCCUGUGGCUUUUAAUAUGCCCGCUGGAUACAGUGAAGAUCUUCAAGCAGUGGAGAUGAGGAUAAUAAUGAAACUGGAGAUGAUCCGUACAGAGUUCAAGACUGCUCUGAACCAAGUUAUGGAGGCCAUAGAGGCCCGGCAGCCAAUGGAGUCAGAGUCCUUGGGGCAACUUGAAAUGCUGCAAAACCCUACAGAAACAAAUGAGGAACUGAAGG
Molecule: long non-coding RNA, 1478 nt
Filed under: Salmo salar (Atlantic salmon)
Lineage: Eukaryota; Metazoa; Chordata; Actinopteri; Salmoniformes; Salmonidae
Description: lncRNA (ENSSSAG00000120447.1)
Source: RNAcentral